RNAcentral lists this ribosomal RNA (357 nucleotides) under Klebsiella pneumoniae. RNAcentral describes it as "bacterial LSU rRNA". It matches the Rfam family "Bacterial large subunit ribosomal RNA", at positions 2587 to 2925 of the family's 2925-position model. The record is from RNAcentral. Lineage: Bacteria; Pseudomonadati; Pseudomonadota; Gammaproteobacteria; Enterobacterales; Enterobacteriaceae.
UUUAAAGUGGUACGCGAGCUGGGUUUAGAACGUCGUGAGACAGUUCGGUCCCUAUCUGCCGUGGGCGCUGGAGAAUUGAGGGGGGGCUGCUCCUAGUACGAGAGGACCGGAGUGGACGCAUCACUGGUGUUCGGGUUGUCAUGCCAAUGGCACUGCCCGGUAGCUAAAUGCGGAAGAGAUAAGUGCUGAAAGCAUCUAAGCACGAAACUUGCCCCGAGAUGAGUUCUCCCUGAGACUUUAAGUCUCCUGAAGGAACGUUAAAGACGAUGACGUUGAUAGGCCGGGUGUGUAAGCGCAGCGAUGCGUUGAGCUAACCGGUACUAAUGAACCGUGAGGCUUAACCUUACAACGCCGAAG